Non-coding RNA from Rattus norvegicus (Norway rat), 695 nucleotides. Lineage: Eukaryota; Metazoa; Chordata; Mammalia; Rodentia; Muridae. The record is from RefSeq and is a predicted model, not a curated record.
GGGACUAAUGAUGACGUCACUGAGACCUGCCAUGGCCUAAUACCUAAACAGUUUUCCUUACACUGAUCAGAUUUGGAGUGCCCUUUCCAGAUGGGAGGGUAGCGUUAUUGUCCUCUGCAACGCUCCACCAAGCAGCCGACUGACACAGAAGCAGAGGCACAGGGCUUGAUAUCAGAUGGAGCUCAGUGAGUCUCAUUGAAAAGCUGAGGGAAGGACUGAGAGAGGCAGAGUUGCACAAUGGUCUUCACGUGGUGUCACUAACCCGUCGCCUGUCUGUGGAUCCUGUUCUCCUACCCGGGCUGCGUUUUCAAGAGCUGGUUGAUGGAUCUUUCUCUUUUCCUAAGAAAAGGCCACUCUGGUUCUCAACUCACUCUUGAAGCCGUGACAGGAGACAUUCACAUCUCAUUCCUUAAGGACUAUACAAAAGGUUUGCUCAAAGGUAAAAUCCAUAUUUUGGGAUAUACUUAUUAUUGAAAAAUUACAUAGAUAAACCCAAUCCAUAUUUUAUCUUCUGUCCCUCUACCUAUAAUAAAUCUUUAUUAACUUUGAUAAAAAUAAAAAAGUGUUUCUACUCCAUUACUGACAACUGACAGAAAGAGAGGAAGACUGAGUAUUACAUACUAAUUUACACCGAUACACACAUAUUCUCAAUAAAAUCCGUGCGAACAGAUUCAAGAAGACACUAAAAAUAAAAA